This 253-nucleotide ribosomal RNA is filed under the name uncultured bacterium. Its description in RNAcentral is "partial 16S ribosomal RNA". It matches the Rfam family "Bacterial small subunit ribosomal RNA", at positions 524 to 776 of the family's 1533-position model. The record is from RNAcentral.
UACAGAGGUCUCAAGCGUUGUUCGGAUUCAUUGGGCGUAAAGGGUGCGUAGGCGGCGCGGUAAGUCGGAUGUGAAAUCUCGGGGCUUAACUCCGAAACUGCAUUCGAUACUACCGUGCUUGAGGACUGGAGAGGAGACUGGAAUUUACGGUGUAGCGGUGAAAUGCGUAGAUAUCGUAAGGAAGACCAGUGGCGAAGGCGGGUCUCUGGACAGUUCCUGACGCUGAGGCACGAAGGCUAGGGGAGCAAACAGG